CCUACGGGAGGCAGCAGUAGGGAAUAUUGGUCAAUGGGCGAAAGCCUGAACCAGCAACGCCGCGUGCGCGAUGAAGGCCUUCGGGUCGUAAAGCGCUUUUGGGAGGGAUGAAAAUGACAGUACCUCCCGAAUAAGGAUCGGCUAACUACGUGCCAGCAGCCGCGGUAAGACGUAGGAUCCAAGCGUUAUCCGGAAUUACUGGGCGUAAAGGGCGUGUAGGAGGUUGGGCAAGUCGGCCAUGAAAGCUCCCGGCUCAACUGGGAGAGGCUGGUCGAUACUGCCUGGCUAGAGGGCAAGAGAGGGAGGUGGAAUUCCCGGUGUAGUGGUGAAAUGCGUAGAUAUCGGGAGGAACACCAGUGGCGAAGGCGGCCUCCUGGCUUGUACCUGACUCUGAAACGCGAAAGCAUGGGUAGCAAACAGGAUUAGAAAUCCUGGUAGUCCAUGCCAUAAACGAUGUCAACUGGGUGUCGGCGAAGUAAAAUUGUCGGUGCCGAAGCUAACGCGUUAAGUUGACCGCCUGAGGACUACGAUCGCAAGAUUAAAACUCAAAGAGUAUACGCGNGAGAGAGCGACGACGACGACGACGGAGGAGAG
Molecule: ribosomal RNA, 594 nt
Filed under: uncultured bacterium
Lineage: Bacteria
Description: bacterial SSU rRNA
Rfam family: Bacterial small subunit ribosomal RNA
Source: RNAcentral